RNAcentral lists this ribosomal RNA (497 nucleotides) under uncultured bacterium. Its description in RNAcentral is "partial 16S ribosomal RNA". It matches the Rfam family "Bacterial small subunit ribosomal RNA", at positions 28 to 507 of the family's 1533-position model. The record is from RNAcentral.
GAUGAACGCUGGCGGCGUGCCUAAUACAUGCAAGUCGAGCGAACAGACGAGGAGCUUGCUCCUCUGACGUUAGCGGCGGACGGGUGAGUAACACGUGGAUAACCUACCUAUAAGACUGGGAUAACUUCGGGAAACCGGAGCUAAUACCGGAUAAUAUAUUGAACCGCAUGGUUCAAUAGUGAAGGACGGUUUUGCUGUCACUUAUAGAUGGAUCCGCGCCGCAUUAGCUAGUUGGUAAGGUAACGGCUUACCAAGGCAACGAUGCGUAGCCGACCUGAGAGGGUGAUCGGCCACACUGGAACCGAGACACGGUCCAGACUCCUACGGGAGGCAGCAGUAGGGAAUCUUCCGCAAUGGGCGAAAGCCUGACGGAGCAACGCCGCGUGAGUGAUGAAGGUCUUCGGAUCGUAAAACUCUGUUAUUAGGGAAGAACAAAUGUGUAAGUAACUAUGCACGUCUUGACGGUACCUAAUCAGAAAGCCACGGCUAACUACGUG